This 439-nucleotide ribosomal RNA is filed under the name uncultured Jahnella sp. RNAcentral's name for it is "bacterial SSU rRNA". It matches the Rfam family "Bacterial small subunit ribosomal RNA", at positions 338 to 770 of the family's 1533-position model. Lineage: Bacteria; Pseudomonadati; Myxococcota; Polyangiales; Polyangiaceae. The record is from RNAcentral.
CCUACGGGGGGCAGCAGUGGGGAAUCUUGCGCAAUGGGCGAAAGCCUGACGCAGCGACGCCGCGUGAGUGAUGAAGGCCUUCGGGUUGUAAAGCUCUGUGGAGGGGGACGAAUAAGGGCCGGCGAACACCCGGUCUGAUGACGGUACCCCUUUAGCAAGCACCGGCUAACUCUGUGCCAGCAGCCGCGGUAAGACAGAGGGUGCAAACGUUGUUCGGAAUUACUGGGCGUAAAGCGCGUGUAGGCGGCGCGGUAAGUCGGGUGUGAAAGCCCUGGGCUCAACCCAGGAAGUGCACUCGAAACUACCGUGCUUGAGUUCCGGAGAGGAAGGCGGAAUUCUCGGUGUAGAGGUGAAAUUCGUAGAUAUCGAGAGGAACACCGGUGGCGAAGGCGGCCUUCUGGACGGCAACUGACGCUGAGACGCGAAAGCGUGGGGAGCA